GAUGAAGAACGUAGCGAAAUGCGAUAAGUAAUGUGAAUUGCAGAAUUCCGUGAAUCAUCGAAUCUUUGAACGCACAUUGCGCCCCCUGGUAUUCCGGGGGGCAUGCCUGUUCGAGCGUCAUUUCACCACUCAAGCCUCGCUUGGUAUUGGGCAACGCGGUCCGCCGCGUGCCUCAAAUCGACCGGCUGGGUCUUCUGUCCCCUAAGCGUUGUGGAAACUAUUCGCUAAAGGGUGUUCGGGAGGCUACGCCGUAAAACAACCCCAUUUCUAAGGUUGACCUCGGAUCAGGUAGGGAUACCCGCUGAACUUAAGCAUAUCAAUAAGCGGAGGA
RNAcentral lists this unclassified non-coding RNA (331 nucleotides) under soil metagenome. Its description in RNAcentral is "partial contains 5.8S ribosomal RNA, internal transcribed spacer 2, and large subunit ribosomal RNA". The stretch from base 1 to 120 matches the Rfam family "5.8S ribosomal RNA", at positions 35 to 154 of the family's 154-position model. The record is from RNAcentral.